Crotalus tigris (Tiger rattlesnake) is the source of this 507-nucleotide non-coding RNA. NCBI's taxonomy places the organism in Eukaryota, Metazoa, Chordata, Lepidosauria, Squamata, Viperidae. The record is from the annotation of a RefSeq genome assembly.
UCUUCUUCUGGGCCACCAAACUUCAUCACUAUGUUCUGGGCUCUUUGUCUUAGUAUCUUGGUGGUGUGGUCCAAAGGAUCAACCUCACAGAGUGUUGUGUCUCAGCCUCCAUCAGCCUCAGUGUCCCUAGGAAACACAGCGAAACUGGCCUGCAUCUUGGGCGGUGGGCUCAGCAUUGGCAGCUACAGGAUACGUUGGUACCAACAGAAGUCUCCAAGUUCUCCACGAUUUCUCUUACACUACCACACAGAUUCGGACAAGGGACAAGAGUCUGGGGUUCCCUCUCGAUUCUCCGGUUCCAAAGACACCUCCACAAAUACCAGCUAUUUAACCAUUUCUGGAGUUAUGAGCGAAGAUGAGGCUGAUUAUUAUUGUGCCACCUGGCACAGCAACACGUUUCACAGUGAUACCUUCUGAUGGAGAAGUGAGACAAAAACUGUCCUUCCCAUUUCUACAGCACGUUGCUUCUGAAAAGCAAAAUCUCUCCUUAAGGUUUUUUUUUUUUCC